Molecule: ribosomal RNA, 482 nt
Filed under: uncultured bacterium
Lineage: Bacteria
Description: partial 16S ribosomal RNA
Rfam family: Bacterial small subunit ribosomal RNA
Source: RNAcentral
AUUGAACGCUGGCGGCAUGCCUUACACAUGCAAGUCGAACGGUAACAGGUCUUCGGAUGCUGACGAGUGGCGAACGGGUGAGUAAUACAUCGGAACGUGCCCAGACGUGGGGGAUAACGAGGCGAAAGCUUUGCUAAUACCGCAUACGAUCUAAGGAUGACAGCAGGGGACCGCAAGGCCUUGUGCGUUUGGAGCGGCCGAUGGCAGAUUAGGUAGUUGGUGGGAUAAAAGCUUACCAAGCCGACGAUCUGUAGCUGGUCUGAGAGGACGACCAGCCACACUGGGACUGAGACACGGCCCAGACUCCUACGGGAGGCAGCAGUGGGGAAUUUUGGACAAUGGGCGAAAGCCUGAUCCAGCAAUGCCGCGUGCAGGAUGAAGGCCUUCGGGUUGUAAACUGCUUUUGUACGGAAAGAAAAGGCUCUGGCUAAUACCUGGGGCACAUGACGGUACCGUAAGAAUAAGCACCGGCUAACUACGUG